UACGUAGGGAGCGAGCGUUGUCCGGAAUUACUGGGUGUAAAGGGAGCGUAGGCGGGGAUGCAAGUUGGGUGUCAAAACUACCGGCUCAACUGGUAGUCGCACUCAAAACUGCAGCUCUUGAGUGAAGUAGAGGCAGGCGGAAUUCCUAGUGUAGCGGUGAAAUGCGUAGAUAUUAGGAGGAACACCAGUGGCGAAGGCGGCCUGCUGGGCUUUUACUGACACUGAGGCUCGAAAGCGUGGGGAGCAAACAGG
RNAcentral lists this ribosomal RNA (252 nucleotides) under uncultured bacterium. Its description in RNAcentral is "partial 16S ribosomal RNA". It matches the Rfam family "Bacterial small subunit ribosomal RNA", at positions 524 to 776 of the family's 1533-position model. The record is from RNAcentral.